Molecule: long non-coding RNA, 1050 nt
Filed under: Podarcis muralis (Common wall lizard)
Lineage: Eukaryota; Metazoa; Chordata; Lepidosauria; Squamata; Lacertidae
Description: lncRNA (ENSPMRG00000014506.1)
Source: RNAcentral
GGGAAAUUCCUUUGCUUAAACAUUAAAACCCAACCUCAAGAGGGCUGGGCAAAAGAUGAAAAGCUCCCCAAGGCAGUACUUCUCCUCCUCUUUUUCAGGCUAAUUUCCAUUUAAAUGUCUGCAAAGGCAGCCUCCUGCUGCUGCUUAUUUUGUGGCUGGUGGGAGGUCUCUUUCUCCCUGCUUCUUCAGGAUGGGGCAUUUCAGCAACUAGACACCAGAAAGCCACUUUCUGGCUUUCCUCUCCUGAUUAUGCUUGUGCUUCCAUUUGGGGGGAAUGCCUCUUACCUUGCAGCCUAAUAAUAGCAGCUGGCUAAGCCUGGACGAGUGGUUUUAGGUGGCACUGGGAGGAAAGCCUGAUGAGGAGAAGCAGAGAGAGGGAGGAUUCAGACUGUGGUCACCAGCCUGAUACAACCCCUUCUCCUAGGAGGGGCAGGAACCUUGGAGGGCUGGGUCACUCCUUGUAGGUGCCCCCCAACAAGAUGUUCCUGUAAGGUCUCUGAAUGACCCAAGAGCAGAGGUUUAGGUUAUGAGGAGAUUAGAUGAUGACCAGGAGUGACAAAGUUCUCCGAUGUCUGCUCUGCUAAUGGUUUGGGCUGUGCUUCUGCACUUGGGGAUUGAGCAGACCCUGGCCAGAGGAGGAAAGUCAUGGGAGCACUGCACAGGAUCUAUUUACACAGUAGUUGUUAACCAGUCUGGUGCUACAGCACACAACUGGGAGCGUGGGAAAUGCCAGCGACACAGAAAAGCACAUCUCUCAUGAGCUGUGCCAGUUCUCAAAGUGGAAUGUUUGCUUCAAGAUUUUGCAGGAGCAGCGUGGGCUGUAAAGCAAAUUCCAUUUGCCCACAUGAAUGCAUCAAAUCUUCAGCGUGAAGAUGGAUCCAGAAGCAUGCAGGACAUGAAAGAAUGGACAAGGGGCGGACAUUCCCAAAGAACUCGGCCCUAGAGAAAUAUAAAAAGCAAGACAACAAUUUGCAUAAGAGUGUAUAAAAGCAAUGGAAAUACAGGGUUGUAGUCAACUAAGUCCUACUCUGACCUGCUGAAAUAAAUGAA